GACGCGUUUGUUUUGAGUAUGGAGGAUAUUCAAGCUGUGCUGCUUUUGUGUGCGAUCUAUUGGUUUACUAACGAGGUAAUUAACAAAACGGCAGAAAAGAGACGAGCAUUAAUACUAAAGCGUAUUCAGAAAGCUCGUAAUGCUAGAUAUAAAAGUAGACAACGUUUGUUAUCAGCUAUAGUGGACAUUGACCGUGAGAUGGAUGGGACGAACGCGCGCCAUCGGGCAGAAAGAACAAGAUUGCUCAACCAAUCAGCAUGUUCAGCGCACAAGUCCCACCCCGAAAGUUCCUGAACUCUGAAAAAGUACUACCUCGCCAGCAGGGACUUUCUGGGGGGGAAAUUUUUACCCGGAACUUCAUUUAGACCCUGGUUCCUGCGGUGUAAACACACUGAGUACCACCCCAAAGUUCCUAGUUCCUGGGGAAAGUUCCUGCGGUGGAAACGCGGCUAUAGU
Long non-coding RNA from Rhinichthys klamathensis goyatoka, 456 nucleotides. RefSeq lists it as uncharacterized. NCBI's taxonomy places the organism in Eukaryota, Metazoa, Chordata, Actinopteri, Cypriniformes, Leuciscidae. The transcript has 2 exons. The record is from RefSeq and is a predicted model, not a curated record.